This 468-nucleotide ribosomal RNA is filed under the name uncultured bacterium. RNAcentral's name for it is "partial 16S ribosomal RNA". It matches the Rfam family "Bacterial small subunit ribosomal RNA", at positions 28 to 507 of the family's 1533-position model. The record is from RNAcentral.
GACGAACGCUGGCGGCGUGCUUAACACAUGCAAGUCGAACGGAAAGGCCCUGCUUUUGUGGGGUGCUCGAGUGGCGAACGGGUGAGUAACACGUGAGUAACCUGCCCUUGACUUUGGGAUAACUUCAGGAAACUGGGGCUAAUACCGGAUAGGAGCUCCUGAUGCAUGGGGGGGGUUGGAAAGGUUCGGCGGGUGGGGAUGGACUCGCGGCUUAUCAGCUUGUUGGUGGGGUAGUGGCUUACCAAGGCUUUGACGGGUAGCCGGCCUGGGAGGGUGACCGGCCACAUUGGGACUGCGAUACGGCCCAGACUCCUACGGGAGGCAGCAGUGGGGAAUAUUGCACAAUGGGCGGAAGCCUGAUGCAGCAACGCCGCGUGCGGGAUGACGGCCUUCGGGUUGUAAACCGCUUUCGCCUGUGACGAAGCGUGAGUGACGGUAAUGGGUAAAGAAGCACCGGCUAACUACGUG